AGGGAAUCUUCCGCAAUGGGCGAAAGCCUGACGGAGCAACGCCGCGUGAGUGAUGAAGGUUUUCGGAUCGUAAAGCUCUGUUGCCAGGGAAGAACGUCGGGUAGAGUAACUGCUACCCGAGUGACGGUACCUGAGAAGAAAGCCCCGGCUAACUACGUGCCAGCAGCCGCGGUAAUACGUAGGGGGCAAGCGUUGUCCGGAAUUAUUGGGCGUAAAGCGCGCGCAGGCGGUCACUUAAGUCUGGUGUUUAAGGCUAGGGCUCAACUCUAGUUCGCACUGGAAACUGGGUGACUUGAGUGCAGAAGAGGAAAGUGGAAUUCCACGUGUAGCGGUGAAAUGCGUAGAGAUGUGGAGGAACACCAGUGGCGAAGGCGACUUUCUGGGCUGUAACUGACGCUGAGGCGCGAAAGCGUGGGGAGCAAAC
This 424-nucleotide ribosomal RNA is filed under the name uncultured bacterium. Its description in RNAcentral is "bacterial SSU rRNA". It matches the Rfam family "Bacterial small subunit ribosomal RNA", at positions 356 to 773 of the family's 1533-position model. The record is from RNAcentral.